ACUGCUCAAUUUGACUACUAUCUGUCUGAUAAAGAAAAAUGUGAAAAAAAUAUAUGAGCUUAAAGUUCAGUGAGUAGAUAGUUUUCAAAUAAGUAAACUUUUCUCAUUUAUGCAUAUUUUCUAUAAAUUCUUGCACUACUAAAACUUUUAGAAAUUCUAAAAUCUGGUAACACUUUUAAAAUCAAACAUGAAUACAUCAUAAAAUUCUUUGUUUUUCAUUCUAGAUAAGUAACUGUAAAAUGUAAUGAAUAUAAAUAAUAUUACAUCUGUGAAAAUCUGUGAAAUAUUAUUAUUGCUCAAUAUUAUAAACUGAAAGCUUUAAUAUGAGAACUGAAUAGACUGAAUUCUAUAAUUUGAAAUUUGAUAAGUUCUAAAAAUGUUGAAAAAUCACACGGAAGAGGUAACCAAUGAAUAGCCUUACUCAUGUACAGAGUAAUCUCGAUGUACAAGGUAAAGCCAUUCAAAUCUGAUAUUCUGAUAAUCUAAUAAUCUAUUCAUACGUACGUAGAGUUGUCCUAAAGGCUAAUCACCAUAGUUUACGACCUAAAGCCUACGUGUGUACGAGAGUGGGUCCCAAAAACCUCUGAUAAUCUGAUAAUCUGGUCAUACACUAUGGAAACACAUUCACAAUAAUGCAGAGCGGAUAAAAUCACCAUAACUAGUCAUAUACUGUGGAAACACAUUCACAACAGUGCAGACUCGGGUAAUAUCCCCUAGUACUUUCUGGUGGUUUUAAAAAUAACCCUAGCUAUACUGAAAUAGUUAUAUUCAAAUAUCAUGCUAAUCAAAUGAUUUAAUUGAAUUAAAUUUAACUUUAAAAAUAUCUGAUUAUAAAUCUACUUUAUUCUAAAAAUCAUGCUGUCAAAAUUAAUUUAUGAAAUAAUAAAUUUUUUAAUCUAACAUAAAUUUAAUAAAUAAUUAAUUUCUGAAAAAUAAGUUUUAUAUCCACUCACUCAAUACGAGCUACCGACUAGGCCGGUCGACAAGCUUUUUUAAUUUCUUCGUCACCACCUGAAAUACGUCACAAAAUAACUAAUUUAAUCACUAUUAAAAAUAAAGAAUUUUUUUAUCUCUAAUGAUUUAAUAAUUGAACUAAAUUUCCCGAGACUUGCGAAAUUUUCCUAAAUUUCCUUUAAUCAAUCGGACCUAAUUUCCACUUUUUAAUACCUUCACAAUUAUAUAUCACGUCCAAAUUUAACUUCAUUCCAAUCAUAACAAUAUUUAUCCCCUUCAUUCCAGUGAAAAACUAGCAAUCAUACUACAACCAAAUUAAUAUAUUUAUCGUUCCCCAAAAUCAUUCUUCCAAGUGAAUAAUUCCAUUAAUGUAAUCAUUUCUACAAAUAAUCCAUGUUCAAUCAUCAAAUUUAAAAACUAGGGUUUGCAAAAAAAAAAAAAAAUGAUAUGUCCUUAUCUUAGUGUAGAUAGAAAUUCAAGAAUCAAUAACUUGAGCUCCAAGUAUUAUUAAUCUCAAAAAUCUGAAAAUUUCGAGCCAAAAAUAAAACCCUUGAAUUUUAACAUAAAAUUUAUCUACCUCUUGAAGAAAAUAAAGAGAAAGGAAAAAUGGAAAUAGACCUUAAACUACCUCUUUCCUUUCUUCUUCUUCCUUUUUUCUUUUUCUCCUUCUUUUUCUUCCCUCUUUUCUUUCCCUUUUCUUUCUGCCGAUUUCUUCUUCUUCUCUACCUGUUAUUUUUCUUGCUUCUUUUGUGUGUGUGUGUGUG
RNAcentral lists this long non-coding RNA (1718 nucleotides) under Olea europaea (common olive). RNAcentral's name for it is "long non-coding RNA (OEUR_LNC005144)". Lineage: Eukaryota; Viridiplantae; Streptophyta; Magnoliopsida; Lamiales; Oleaceae. The record is from RNAcentral.